Molecule: ribosomal RNA, 500 nt
Filed under: uncultured bacterium
Lineage: Bacteria
Description: partial 16S ribosomal RNA
Rfam family: Bacterial small subunit ribosomal RNA
Source: RNAcentral
AUUGAACGCUGGCGGAAUGCUUUACACAUGCAAGUCGAACGGCAGCACGGACUUCGGUCUGGUGGCGAGUGGCGGACGGGUGAGUAACAUAUCGGAACGUAUCCAAUAAUGGGGGAUAACGAGUCGAAAGAUUCGCUAAUACCGCAUACGCCCUACGGGGGAAAGCUGGGGACCUUCGGGCCUGGCGUUAAUGGAGCGGCCGAUAUCUGAUUAGCUAGUUGGUGAGGUAAAGGCUCACCAAGGCGACGAUCAGUAGCUGGUCUGAGAGGACGACCAGCCACACUGGAACUGAGACACGGUCCAGACUCCUACGGGAGGCAGCAGUGGGGAAUUUUGGACAAGGGGCGCAAGCCUGAUCCAGCCAUUCCGCGUGAGUGAAGAAGGCCUUCGGGUUGUAAAGCUCUUUCGCAAGGGAAGAAAACUUAGCCACUAACAUUGGUUGAGGUUGACGGUACCUUGAUAAGAAGCACCGGCUAACUACGUGCCAGCCGCCGCGGUAA